RNAcentral lists this long non-coding RNA (2043 nucleotides) under Triticum aestivum (bread wheat). RNAcentral's name for it is "long non-coding RNA (TAES_LNC024569)". Lineage: Eukaryota; Viridiplantae; Streptophyta; Magnoliopsida; Poales; Poaceae. The record is from RNAcentral.
UGCAUUAUUAUUUUCAGAAUGGUUGCUCUUGUGUCCUAAAGUUACUGGUUCAUUUAGGUACGUAGCAGGAAAUUAUAGUGGCCAACAUGUCACAUUUACUCCUCUCCAUCCCAAUAUAAUAAAAUUUACAGCUUCAUUUCCCCUUGAAUUUACCUGAUAAAAAGCGAAGAAGACACUGAUGUCGAACAGGGACAAUGUUCGGUCGCCUAUCUUGUAUGAUAAUCAUCAUUGGCAAGAAAACUGCAAGGAAGUAGUUCCUUUCUAUCUUUGUGUUGUUUAGAGUGUGUGGACUUUCAUUCUUGCCUAACCUUCCUAAAGCAAGGUAAAUUAUGUAUAAGUAGCAUGGUAAAUCCUGUGUAAGUAGCAUGACUUUGUGUAAAUACAUGGUAAAUUCUGUGUAAAUGGAUUUUUGUUCAGGCAGAGGGGGAAGUUGUUGAAACCCACGGUAAAUUCUGUGUAAAUAUAAUGAUAUUUUAUGGAUCACAUACCUGAUAAUAUAUGUGUAAACAUCGUGGUAACUUUGACCCGGUGAAUUUUAUUGUCGUUGAAAACAUAACCAACCUGGUAAUUUCUGUGUAAAUAGAAUGAUAUUUACCACACCGUAGAGCUGAUAACUCAUGUACAAAUAUCAUGAUAAUUUUUUGAGCCAGUAAAAAUGUUUAUUGGAAACAUACCCCUCAUAACUUCUAUUAAAAUAUCAUGGUAAUAUACAAACAACACAGCUAAUAACUCACAUACAAAUACCAUGGUAACUUCGGACUCGGAAAAAAAAGUUAUUGACUACUAUACACUCGGUAACUUCUGCACAAAUAGCAUGGUAAUAUAUACAUUGCGGAUAUGAUAAUUUAUUUACAAGGAUCACUGUAACUUUUGACCCCGAAGAAAAAAGUUGUUGAAAACAUAUCUUCAAUAACUUCUGUGUAAAUAGCAUAUUAACUUACUUUCUGAAGAUCUGAUAACUUGCUGGCGAAUACGGUGAUAACUUUGAUCAGGGGAAAAUAGUUGUUGAAAAUAGCAUUGUAAUAUAUGAAUCGCAUAUCGGAUAACUUACGUGCAAACACCGCGGUAACUUUGAACGAAAGAAAAAAUGUUGUUAGAAAACUACCCUUGAUAACUUCCGCGCAAAUACCACGGUUAUAUAUGAACCACAUACCCGAUACCUUACAUACAAACAUCAUGGUAACUUUGAUCAAGAGGGGAAAAUAUUGUUGAAAUCAUACCACCUGUAAGUUAUGUAAAAAUAACAUGAUAAUACGAUGCACAUACCCGAUAACUCACGUACAAACACCGCAGUAACUUUGACCAAAACUGGAAAAAGUUGUUGAAAGACAUACCCCCGAUAAUUUAUGUGAAAAUAGCACGGUAAUAUACGAACCGCAUACCUGAUAACUUACGUACAAAUACCACGGUUAGUUUGACAAAGACGGAAAAGGUUAUUAAAAACAUACCCCUGGUAACUUAUGUGAAAAUAACAUGAUAAUAUACGAACCACAUACCCGAUAACUCACGUACGAACACCGCGGUAACUUUGACCAAGAGGGGAAAAAGUUGUUGAAAGACAUACCAUGUACUUAUGUGAAAAUGGCACGAUAACUUGCAUACCACAGGCAUGGUAACUUUCGACUUGACAAAAAAUUCAUUGGACCAUAUCAACAUGAGAUCUAGUUUUGAAAAUCUUGUCGUGACGAAUCUUUUAUGUGAAAACAAUUUUUACAUCCGAUAGUUUGAGCUACAAAACAUUUUGAAUUUUCGAAAUAAGUAGAAUCUAGGAUGACAUCAACGAUUGUCUCUAGUGUAUAUAUGCAUGUGCAUGUGGAGAAGGGUGGGAGAACCAUUUUUAUGCACCCAGUAAUUUAUGUGGAAAUACCACGAUAACUUCCAUAUCACAGGCGUGGCAACUUAUGUAGCCCAUACGUGGUAACUUCUGACCCGAAAAAAUAUUGUCGGAGCAUACCAACAUCCGAUCUAGUUUCGAAGAUCUCGUCACGACUAAUCUUUUAUGUGAAAACGUUUUUUGCAUCUGACCGGCGGCUUGAGCUACAC